This 4541-nucleotide ribosomal RNA is filed under the name Triticum aestivum (bread wheat). Its description in RNAcentral is "partial small subunit ribosomal RNA". The record is from RNAcentral. Lineage: Eukaryota; Viridiplantae; Streptophyta; Magnoliopsida; Poales; Poaceae.
UACACAACCAACCGACCCAGUUGGCAAAGCACCACGCACGCGUGGGACAGGGACGUGCGGCGCACGUGCAGUGCGGUAAACGCCCUCUAGCACGCUCUCGGUGCGGGUAACCAGUGGCGGGGCGUGUUUGGGAUGGGAAAGGUCGUGAGGGUUUAGCUACGUCGGCGGAGGUGAGAGGGAGAGAAGGAGGGGGUUGCGCGGCCGGCGAAGGUGGACGGUAUGGCGGAGGGGCGACGGCGGUACCGGAGAAGUCCUCCGUGCGGGGAGGUAUCACGCUUCGUCCUCUGGUCCUAGGCUUACUCCUUCUCCUCUAGGCCCGCGGGGUUGCCACCUAGUUAGCUACGCUCCACUGCUGCUCGAGGAGGCCUGCACCCCCUCGUCGGUCCGACCUCUAGGUCAGCCGCGUAAGGGGUGACCCAACCCCUCUGCGGCUGUUAUCCCCGUUCCCCGUAGACCCAGCUUCGACGUCGCGAGGCCAGGGGUUCGGCGGAGGUCCGAGCGAAGGAGGAGGUAGGAGGGCGUAGAGUAGGUAGAGCUGCCUAUGCUCCGCACGUCCGUACCUCAGCUCCAAGAGGCCGCCGCCGUCCUUGGAGGUCCGUCUCUCGCUGGGGUACCUAGGCAGGGACGUCCUCUCUUCCUUCCUCUCCUCUGUACGGUACCUCUACCCUACUCUUGCAGGUACCGGUCGGUUAGCUGGGGGUGGAGGCCACGCGCUGGGGUACUUCCUAAAACGCGACGGCGGAAGAAAGCGGCCAGGUACGGGACCUUCUCGCUGUGGUCGGUCCGUAACAUACCCUUACUUCGUUUUUCGUACUUCUUUUAUCUCGUCCAGCACACAGUAGCACGUACAUCAGAUGGAAGGUAACCGCAAUGACGUGGACCAAUAGAUGUCUCCUUCCGUUCCUAUUGAUCUAAUUUGUAAAGUGUUCUGGGAGGGUUAAUGUCCGUGUUUGAGGAAAGUUCUAUAAUGUUCACACCAACUAAUGCCCUCUAACAGUUUACUUUUCUUCGAUAUAGGAAAUAUAAAUAGAUCUACAAAUUAAUCGACGUGUUGGUAUGCACUAAGAUAUUCCUUUGAUAAAUAGGACUACUAGAACUAUAGGUUAGUACAUAAUGUCAUAAUCAUAUCCGACAUUAAAAACCGAUCCUUAGAUAUACAUGUCAAUACAUACUUACCCGAUACUAAGAAAAAAGGAAGACUCAUCUAAGAAAAAAAUAAGUGAGGGACACUUUAUUAAAGUCUCGAUGACACAACAUCAUUAAUAAACCGUGUAGGCAUUGAGUUGGUCAAAUACGCACAACUAAAUCACACAUAAACCAAGGUUUCACUUGUUUAAUAACCGGAAGCGAUCCGUUCCUAUCCACAAACCAUGGUUUCUUUUUAAUUGAAACAGUUCGAUUGAUCGUGUGUACCAGACUUCGUCGAUGAAAAAUAUAGGGACCUGAUAUCUAUAAUGUACGUAGUCAUGAACUACGUAGAUACUAUACGAAAACGAUAAAUAACACCGGGAAUUACUGAUGAGACGACACUUGGGUCACAAAUCCAACGUCCGAGUUGAUAUAUAGGUACCUACAAUGGGUAUACCGUUAGAUAUUAAGAUAUACUUAAAACAUCGAUCGAACUUCGCUUACACCACUAGUUCCGAGAUUAGACGUAAGAAAUAAACGUACUUACAGCACACGUCUAUCCAUGAUUGGUACCUUAUAAAAGGAGUAACUGUUGUUCAUGAGGCUAUUGUUAAAUAUUUUUAACUAUAUUAAAGUGUUCAUAUGUCUAUCGGCUGUUCCGUCGUUACGAUAACAAGUUUACAUCAACUCAACUCGAAAUCCACAAAGUCAUUGUCACAACGCACGCACGAAAUAAACAAACAAAGCCAAAGAAUACGACAAAUAAAGUAAAUAUGACGAAGGACACGAUCCUACACGGAACGACACAGUAAACACUAGGGUAAAAAUCUGGGACCACCGAGUCAAAACAAACGGGCGAGAAAGUACGCACACACUCUAAUAACUGCUACCCCAACACGAACAACCCCACCUCGGUUUAGUCACAGAGGGACGGCGGUCAAUCCCACAAGAAGACCCGUUGACCGCCAUGCCCCCGUGACAGGCGGAUACUCGUCCGACGAAACGUUCGAUAUCUUAAGAAUGUCCUUGCUACAUUUAGUACAACGACAACUAAUCCUACUAAGUAUAUGUUGAACCCAGAUAUAAAAAUAAUCGGACUAAUCCCCUCUCUCUCUCCGUCCCUCCACGGAUCCUGCUCAUCCUUCCGAGACCCGUUUUAAAACGGCUAGGACACAUUCAAAACCAAACGGGUCAAUUUGCACAUGUGAAGUACAGUAUAUCGUAUUAUUAUCGUCUACUAUUUGAUAGCAACAGUAUAAUAACUUGAACUAUAGGACAAACUUGAUCUGUCUAUUAAAACUGUUCUAAAAUAGGAUCGCAUUUGUACGACAGUAUCACAGUUGUGUUAUUAUUAUCUUUUUGGAAAAGUUUUAAGUCCACUCCACUUCGUUCGUUCGUGGAGGGGCACAAAAUAUACAUUCGUUAGUUGGGGGGGGGGGGCGCACAACGAAACGGGCUGGUAACAAGCAAAUUUGGAAAGAAGACAUAAUCGCGAUGACCUAUUGGCAGUAACUAGAUGGUUUUUCCUUAGUAUUGUGAUGUCCAGUACCUUUUAUCUAUAUCAAUCGUGUAUUAGGACGUUCAAAGUGGAUUAUACGUGUACAGCAAAGUCAAAAGGUUUUAUAUAUGGUAACUCUUUCAAUGACCUACGUCACGUCUAAGAUCCUAUAAUUGUAAACGUCGGUAUGCAACCAAAGUUACCACUGUAUAAAAACAGUUAGGGUGUCUCUAUUAAAUUAAGUUCUGAUCGUUUAUGUCAAUUCAAAUUUGACAAAGGAAACUACUUUAAGAUUACAAAAAGGUUUGUUUCAUACUACUUGAAUUUUAGGUAUUAUACUUCGACACAGACGACGUAGUCAUGUCAACUACGAAUCCCUGAUUAAGAAAUAUAAAGGACUACAUAAUCAACUCUAGCUCCUCUCUCGUUCGGUAACGUCUCCACUCCCCUAUGCUCCCACCCGUCUCCAGUCCGUAACGAUUGUCUAAACGCCGCCUCACCCUCUCCACUACGGCCGGCCGGCUGCGGAGUGGUGGCCGAGGACAAACCGCCACCGUUUCUCUUCCCACGGCUCCUACACAACGAGAUACGUACCGACAACUUCAUGUAGUAGCAAUACUACACAUACCAAAGAGAUAAAAGUCGGGAUGACGAGAUCUCGGGUUUAGGGUACUGGUACGGGGGUGGAGAGGAAGCAACUUACUUCCCUCAGACCAACGAUUUUUCACUCAAAAGAAUUAGUCAUACAUACCAGGGAGACGUAUACGGUAAAGAAGUAUAAAUUCUCCGGGAGUUCGAAACAGUCAAAAGAUUAUCUAUACCUUAAAAUUAAACUAUCAGGGUUGUUGCCACCCAUGACUACCUCGAUAGAUAAUAAAUAACAAUUAAACAUUAUGAAAACAGUCGAAGAUCGUACAGCAACGAGAUGGUCUCACGUUAAAAGAGACGCACCGUAUGUGGUCAAUGGUAAUCAACUAUACAAACAACUUCAAAAUAACGUUCAAUUUAUUUACACAUCACACCGUAUGACUAAUAAUAUCAAACUAUUACAGUCCGCGGCUACCUAAAUAUCUAUACAUUUAUUUUAUGGAAAUUCAUUUUGAUUCGUAAAUUAAUAACAAGACAAUACAAUAACUAAAGUGGCCGAAAUACAGCCGGCUAAUCAAGACUUCCUAAGGUGUAGCCGAUUAAAUCUAAUACAAUGAUCUCAUAAUCUUCUUCAAGGACUAUAUACAUAAAUCUCUUAAACGACUCUAAACUAUGUUUUAUAACUACUGGUCCGUAAUAUGACGCGUAUUCGUGUUAAAAAAUCAAAAAGAAAAAUAACAACGUCGUCGAAAAGAUAUCGUUAUCGGUUUAUCACACUGUAUUGUGAUAAGGUAAAAGUAUCCGGUAUUGUGUAGAAAUGUACAUUCAAACAAGAGAUCUAUCAAGAUAAAGGUUCUAAAAGUAUAGUAUAAACAGCACCCUAGAUUGACGAAAUGGUAUAAAAGGACCACACCUGCUACAAUAUCUCACUCGAUGGUAGUGAAGAGUAAUGACUGACAUUAGUUAUAUAUACACAAAUACGGUAUUUUCUACCUAUAAACAACUUCGGUAACAGCACAGUACAUUAAUGAACGUCUAGUUGAUAUAUCAAAACAAGCCUAACAUUUCACCUUUGCUAUUUUGGGAUGUUGAGUACACACUAACAGUAAACUAAUAAAUGAAGGAGUUCAUCAUACCUAUACCACGACGGUCCUAUAAUUCAUAUAAGUACUUCAACAUAUUUGGUGCAAGACACUAAGUGAAGACAAUACGUAUAAAUGAAAGGUCAAAAUCCUGACUUUAGGUAGGUAACAUUACUUAAACCAACAUACCCGUAAUGGAUAAACUGAAUCCGAACGAAGUAGUGUACAUCUGGCGAAAAGAAAAG